RNAcentral lists this ribosomal RNA (320 nucleotides) under uncultured bacterium. RNAcentral's name for it is "bacterial SSU rRNA". It matches the Rfam family "Bacterial small subunit ribosomal RNA", at positions 28 to 345 of the family's 1533-position model. The record is from RNAcentral.
GACUAACGCUGGCGGCGUGCUUAAUACAUGCAAGUCAACGACUUUUAGAGUAGCAAUAUUUUAAAGGAAGUGGCGCACGGGUGAGUAACACGUAGGUAAUCUGCCUUCAGGACUGACACAACUCGUCGAAAGACGGGCUAAUAUCAGAUAAUGCAGCGGCUCCGCAUGGAGACAGUUGUUAAAGUACAAGCGCCUGAAGAUGAGCCUGCGGUCCAUUAGCUAGUUGGUAGAGUAACAGCCUACCAAGGCAACGAUGGAUAGCUGGUCUGAGAGGAUGAUCAGCCACACUGGAACUGAGACACGGUCCAGACUCCUACGGG